This 1465-nucleotide ribosomal RNA is filed under the name uncultured bacterium. RNAcentral describes it as "bacterial SSU rRNA". It matches the Rfam family "Bacterial small subunit ribosomal RNA". The record is from RNAcentral.
GAGUUUGAUCCUGGCUCAGAUUGAACGCUGGCGGCAUGCUUUACACAUGCAAGUCGAGCGGCAGGCGGGGCAACGCGGACGGCGAACGGGUGAGUAAUGCAUCGGAACGUGUCCGGGAGUGGGGGAUAACCGCCGAAAGGCGGGCUAAUACCGCAUAUGCUUACGGAGGAAAGGGGGGACCGGCUCCGGAGCGGCCGAUGUCCGAUUAGCUAGUUGGUGGGGUAAUGGCUUACCAAGGCGAUGACGGGUAGGGGACCUGAGAGGGUGGCCCCCCACAAUGGAACUGAAACACGGUCCAUACACCUACGGGUGGCAGCAGUAGGGAAUAUUAGUAAUGGGCGAAAGCCUGAACUAGCAACGCCGCGUGUGCGAAGAAGGCCUUCGGGUUGUAAAGCACUUUUUGAGAGGAUGAGAAGGACGGUACUCUCAGAAUAAGUCUCGGCUAACUACGUGCCAGCAGCCGCGGUACACGUAGGAGGCAAACGUUAUCCGGAUUUACUGGGCGUAAAGCGCGUGUAGGUGGUUUGGUAAGUAGGGCGUGAAAGCUCCUGGCUCAACUGGGGGAGGACGUUCUAAACUGCCAAGCUUGAGGGUGGUAGAGGGAGGUGGAAUUCCGGGUGUAGCGGUGGAAUGCGCAGAUAUCCGGAGGAACACCAGUGGCGAAGGCGGCCUCCUGGACCACUCCUGACACUCAGACGCGAAAGCUAGGGUAGCAAACGGGAUUAGAGACCCCGGUAAUCCUAGCCCUAAACGAUGCGAACUGGAUGUGGUCACUUGGAGCUCAGUAUCGAAGCUAACGCGUUAAGUUCGCCGCCUGGGGAGUACGGUCGCAAGACUGAAACUCAAAGGAAUUGACGGGGGCCCGCACAAGCGGUGGAGUAUGUGGUUUAAUUCGAUGCAACGCGAAGAACCUUACCUGGCCUUGACAUGCACGGAACUUUCCAGAGAUGGAUUGGUGCCUUCGGGAACCGUGACACAGGUGCUGCAUGGCUGUCGUCAGCUCGUGUCGUGAGAUGUUGGGUUAAGUCCCGCAACGAGCGCAACCCUUGUCCUUAGUUGCCAGCACGUAAUGUGGGAACUCUAAGGAGACCGCCGGUGACAAACCGGAGGAAGGUGGGGAUGACGUCAAGUCAUCAUGGCCCUUACGGCCAGGGCUACACACGUACUACAAUGGUGGGGACAGAGGGCUGCAAGCGCGCGAGCGUGAGCCAAUCCCAGAAACCCCAUCUCAGUCCGGAUUGGAGUCUGCAACUCGACUCCAUGAAGUCGGAAUCGCUAGUAAUCGCAGAUCAGUUGCUGCGUGAAUACGUUCCCGGGCCUUGUACACACCGCCCGUCACACCAUGGGAGUUUGUUGCACCAGAAGCAGGUAGCUAACCUUCGGGAGGGCGCUUGCCACGGUGUGGCGAUGACUGGGGUGAAGUCGUAACAAGGUAGCCGUAUCGGAAGGUGCGGCUGGAUCACCU